UACGGAGGGUGCAAGCGUUAUCCGGAUUCACUGGGUUUAAAGGGAGCGUAGGUGGGUUGGUAAGUCAGUGGUGAAAUCCCCGAGCUUAACUUGGGAACUGCCAUUGAUACUAUCAGUCUUGAAUACUGUGGAGGUUAGCGGAAUAUGUCAUGUAGCGGUGAAAUGCUUAGAUAUGUCACAGAACACCGAUAGCGAAGGCAGCUCACUAGGUCUGGAUUGACGCUCAGGGACGAAAGCGUGGGGAGCAAACAGG
RNAcentral lists this ribosomal RNA (253 nucleotides) under uncultured bacterium. RNAcentral's name for it is "partial 16S ribosomal RNA". It matches the Rfam family "Bacterial small subunit ribosomal RNA", at positions 524 to 776 of the family's 1533-position model. The record is from RNAcentral.